This 72-nucleotide transfer RNA is filed under the name Ixodes scapularis (black-legged tick). It matches the Rfam family "tRNA". From Rfam's summary of the family: Transfer RNA (tRNA) molecules are approximately 80 nucleotides in length. Their secondary structure includes four short double-helical elements and three loops (D, anti-codon, and T loops). The record is from Rfam by way of RNAcentral. Lineage: Eukaryota; Metazoa; Arthropoda; Arachnida; Ixodida; Ixodidae.
GGUGGAGUGGUUUAGAGGUUAGCACAUCCGACCGGUCUUGGGAGGCCCAGAGUUCAAAUCCUGGCUCCGCCG